Molecule: ribosomal RNA, 1493 nt
Filed under: uncultured fungus
Lineage: Eukaryota; Fungi
Description: eukaryotic LSU rRNA
Rfam family: Eukaryotic large subunit ribosomal RNA (bases 859-1493)
Source: RNAcentral
AAGUCGUAACAAGGUUGACAGUGAGCCUUCCCAGGCCCGCGGAAGCCUUUGCACGCCGCCCCUGGCGGUGGGCCCAGCGACUCUAAAGCAAAUGGGCCGGUGCAAGUUGGCCUCUGCCAGCAACACUUUCGAAUGCGGGGAAUCCCUAAUGCGAAGCCCUACCAACCGGUGGGGGAGACCCCCCUGGGGCCUGCGCGCAGCGGCGCAGGGUGCGGUGAGAACGGGCUUCGAUACGUGGGCCAUCCGCAGCCAAGUCCCCAGCCAUCUGCUGUGGGAUGGGCUCACAGGCUAAGCGGAAGUGGGUGGGGUACGUCCCCGCUUAAGAUAUAGUCGGGCUCCUGAAGGAGACUUUGGGAGGGCCAGCCGUUCCGUAGGUGAACCUGCGGAAGGAUCAUUACAGUGAGGGGCCUGCGGGCCCGCUCUCAAACCCAGUGCCAACCAUCCCGUUGCUUCGGCGGGCCGUCAGGCUCAGGCUCGCCACCGGUCUCGGCCGGUGAGUGCCCGUCCGAGGACCACCAAACCAGUGCCACGCGCAGUCAGNAGUAUGAUACAAAUGAAACAAAACUUUCAACAACGGAUCUCUUGGUUCCGGCAUCGAUGAAGAACGCAGCGAAACGCGAUAGGNAAUGCGAAUUGCAGAAUUCAGUGAGUCAUCGAGUCUUUGAACGCACAUUGCGCCNUUGGUAUUCCGAGGGGCACGCCUGUUCGAGCGUCAUUUCUCCCCUCAAGCCCGGCUUGGUGUUGAGCCUCGCCCAUCACAGGCGGGNNCAAAGCGGUUGGCGGCACUACGGCCCCAGAGCACGACGCAUUCGUGGAUCUUGGGGGCAUACUGCCCGCCUACACAAACCCUUCUAAGGUUGACCUCGGAUCAGGCGGGGAUACCCGCUGAACUUAAGCAUAUCAAUAAGCGGAGGAAAAGAAACCAACGGGGAUUGCCCUAGUAACGGCGAGUGAAGCGGCAUCAGCCCAAAUUUGAAAUCUGGCGGCCCUUGGCAGCCCGAGUUGUAAUUUGGAGAGGGUGCUUCGCGAACGGCCCCGCCCCAAGUUCCUUGGAACCGGACGCUACAGAGGGUGAGAGCCCCGUACCCGGGCGGAGGCCCGCCGCGUGUGAAGCCCCUUCGACGAGUCGAGUUGUUUGGGAAUGCAGCUCUAAUCGGGAGGUAAAUUCCUUCUAAGGCUAAAUACCGGCCGGAGACCGAUAGCGCACAAGUAGAGUGAUCGAAAGAUGAAAAGCACUUUGAAAAGAGAGUCAACCAGCACGUGAAAUUGUUGAAAGGGAAGCGCUCGCGACCAGACUCGGCCGUUUUGGAUCAGCCCUUGCAUGCAGCGGCGUACUCCACUGCGGCCGGGCCAGCGAGGGUUCGGGCGGCCGGACAAAGGCGGCGGGAACGUGGCUCCCUCCGGGGAGUGUUAUAGCCCGCUGCGGAAUGCGGCCAGCCCGGACCGAGGACCGCGCUUUGGCUAGGACGCUGGCGUAAUGGUCGUGAGCGGCC